Molecule: long non-coding RNA, 1295 nt
Organism: Dipodomys ordii (Ord's kangaroo rat)
Lineage: Eukaryota; Metazoa; Chordata; Mammalia; Rodentia; Heteromyidae
Exons: 4
Source: RefSeq, a predicted model, not a curated record
GCCAGCGCCCGGACCGCACAGCUUCGAUCGUGCGCGAGAAAAACAGCCGGACUCCACGAGUCCCCGCGCACCGCGCCGUGCGCGCGACUCGGCGGAGUGGAGUCCCCUCUUAACCCCAGAUCCAAGUCGUCUCCCUCCUGCACGGCUCUUCCUCUCCUGGGUUUUGCACGCCCUUCUGCCUGGUCUCUCUUACAUUCUGGGUCCCUGAACCAUCGCCAGCCACACGGAGGGAGGCACGGAGGCACACCAGGAGACGGGGGUGCCCUCCGCGUAGGCUCUGCAGACACCACCAGGAGGCCAGGGGACUGUGUGCAUUCAUGGGUUUGGUCCUAGAACCCCAGUCCAAACACACUUCUGAAUACCCACCUCCCUUCUGCCUACUCUGGAAAGAAAGCUGGGAGAAACCCCAUCAGUCAGAGUGUACACUUGGAAGAACACGUUUGCAAGACCCAAAGGGCCUUACAGUUUGCAGAGAGAACACCUGUCCAGCCUGGGCCAAACUACAUGUGUGUAAUUAAUGACCUAUAAGGCCAUAACAUAGCUGGGUUCACCUUUGAGAGCAGCCAAGUUGGAGAGAAGGGGCUGUCUCGCUGAGCUUCUCAGGAUGGCUUCGUGUGGAUGUGCAGGCUGCACGGCGGGGAUGUUUGCGGCUGGUGACCCAGACAAGCGCAGCACUGAACACGUAGGAGGCAUCCAGACCAUUUGAUGAAUGACUACUAUUAAAUACAUGUCUGAUGGUGAGAGGCUUUUGAGACUCUACUUAGAUACAUCUAGUACCCCUCCUCUCCUCUGUUCCUCCAUCCCUCAGACUCAGCUUCAACUAACUGAGAACCUGCCAUGGUGAAUCCUCAGCCAACCCUCAUCGCACCACUGGACAAAGACUUUGUUCUCCAAGUUUGUGUGUGAAUGUGAGCUCAGAGUUGCCGGUGUGGCUCACCAGGGUCACAGAGCAAGAAGCAUGUCAGAAUUUGAAUCCCGGGUAAAGCACUCAAGGACUGUGUCCUUUCUAUUCAAGCUCAGAGAGCAACCAAAAUGGACAUCUACUCUGGUCUCCUGGGGAAUUUACCUCCCGGGAAUACCACAGUUACUGAAAAUAUCAAAGAACUGUCCCAAGCAAAGAUAUCAUGGAAACUCCUAGUAAGUCACACUCUGCUUCCUUUGCUGAGGAUUUUUAAUUUUUAAAGGAAUGUGAUGGAUCGCUGUAAAGGGGCGUCCUGAUUUUCAUGUUGUAUUCCUAUAAUAAGUACAAUAGCACUUUGAUAUAGUGUUUUUUUUGUGUGUGUGCUAGUACACAA